This 253-nucleotide ribosomal RNA is filed under the name uncultured bacterium. Its description in RNAcentral is "partial 16S ribosomal RNA". It matches the Rfam family "Bacterial small subunit ribosomal RNA", at positions 524 to 776 of the family's 1533-position model. The record is from RNAcentral.
GACAGAGGAUGCAAGCGUUAAUCGGAAUUACUGGGCGUAAAGCGCGCGUAGGUGGUUCAGCAAGUUGAAGGUGAAAUCCCCGGGCUCAACCUGGGAACUGCCUCCAAAACUACUGAGCUAGAGUACGGUAGAGGGUAGUGGAAUUUCCUGUGUAGCGGUGAAAUGCGUAGAUAUAGGAAGGAACACCAGUGGCGAAGGCGACUACCUGGACUGAUACUGACACUGAGGUGCGAAAGCGUGGGGAGCAAACAGG